RNAcentral lists this long non-coding RNA (427 nucleotides) under Rattus norvegicus (Norway rat). RNAcentral describes it as "long non-coding RNA NONRATT009806". The record is from RNAcentral. Lineage: Eukaryota; Metazoa; Chordata; Mammalia; Rodentia; Muridae.
CAUCCCAUUCCAAACCCAUCCUUUCUUGCCAUUCCCACAAAUGAAAAGCAUGAUAACACCGCCAUUCCAGCCAGCAAUACCAUUGCUCCCAUUGUGUCCACACCAGUUUCUACCACAGAGUCAGUGGUAAAUACUGUGGCCAAUACCGAAGCUUCCACAGUGCCUAUCAGUACCCCGGAGACUGCCACAGUCCCAGUGACCUCACCUGCAGCAUAAAAGCGCAAAGGAAACAUUGAAGAAGACAGUCAAGGUCUGAAACCAAAUUCCAACUUCAAACUCUUCUUCAGGGAUUUGUCUACCACCAUUCAAGAGAAAAUGCAAUUUUCACAGAUUCAGAUCUUUUUCUUCUUCCUAUACAUUUUACAUUGAAGCCACAGUUAAUUUUGUUUUUUUUUGAUUCUUGAAGAAUAAAGUUAAUGAAAUGCAA